GACGGGGGGGCAAGUGUUCUUCGGAAUGACUGGGCGUAAAGGGCACGGAGGCGGUGAAUCGGGUUGAAAGUGAAAGUCGCCAAAAAGUGGCGGAAUGCUCUCGAAACCAAUUCACUUGAGUGAGACAGAGGAGAGUGGAAUUUCGUGUGUAGGGGUGAAAUCCGUAAAUAUACGAAGGAACGCCAAAAGCGAAGGCAGCUCUCUGGGUCCCUACCGACGCUGGGGUGCGAAAGCAUGGGGAGCGAACAGG
Molecule: ribosomal RNA, 250 nt
Filed under: uncultured bacterium
Lineage: Bacteria
Description: partial 16S ribosomal RNA
Rfam family: Bacterial small subunit ribosomal RNA
Source: RNAcentral